RNAcentral lists this ribosomal RNA (551 nucleotides) under Macrotylus intermedius. RNAcentral's name for it is "partial 16S ribosomal RNA". It matches the Rfam family "Bacterial large subunit ribosomal RNA", at positions 1796 to 2622 of the family's 2925-position model. Lineage: Eukaryota; Metazoa; Arthropoda; Insecta; Hemiptera; Miridae. The record is from RNAcentral.
UCGCCUGUUUAUCAAAAACAUGGUUUUUUGUUUUUAUAAAAAAUCUGGCCUGCCCAAUGAUUUAUUAAAUGGCUGCAGUAUUUUGACUGUACAAAGGUAGCAUAAUCACUUGUCUUUUAAUUGAAGUCUGGUAUGAAUGGUUGGAUGAAAAGUUUACUUUCUUUAAUUUAAAAAUAAAAUUUGAUUUAUAGAUCAAAAAGUCUAUAUGUUUUAAUAGGACGAGAAGACCCUAUAGAACUUUAUUUAUAUUUAUUGUUUGUUAUUUAGUAAAUUAUUAGUUUACAUUUUUGUAUAUAUUUUAUUGGGGUGAUAAAAAAAAUUUUUUAACUUUUUUUAUUUUUUUCAUUUAUUUAUGUAUUUUUGAUCCUUUAUUAUGGAUAAUAAGAAUAAGUUACCUUAGGGAUAACAGCGUUAUUAUUUUAGAGAGUUCAUAUUGAUAAAAUAGUUUGCGACCUCGAUGUUGGAUUAAAAUUAGUUUCAGGAGUACAAGAUUGAUUUACUGGGUCUGUUCGACCUUUAAAUUUUUACAUGAUCUGAGUUCAAACCGGAGA